RNAcentral lists this non-coding RNA (224 nucleotides) under Pseudomonas sp. 9Ag. RNAcentral's name for it is "sucA-II". It matches the Rfam family "sucA-II RNA". The record is from RNAcentral. Lineage: Bacteria; Pseudomonadati; Pseudomonadota; Gammaproteobacteria; Pseudomonadales; Pseudomonadaceae.
CUACGGCGCCUGAGUUCAACUCGGCGCCGUAGUCUUAGUAGGAACCCCAGCUCACAAAGCCGUGGUUUCGCUCUGAAAAUUUGAUGACCAGCAGGGGCAUCCGGGGUGGUUCUCGGAAACUAUCUGCGCGGUCCGUAGUGGCUUUACCUGGGUCGCUGCUUCAGAACUUGGGAAGUCAUGCUGCGGUCUCCACGCUGGUGGUGUCUCCUUAUCGAAGGUGACCA